CCUUGGGGGCAACCCUGAUCCAGCCAUGCCGCGUGAGUGAAGAAGGCCCUCGGCCUGUAAGCUCCCUAAGCGGGGAGGAUGGGUCGUAACUUAAUACCCUUUUGUCCUGCGGUACCGGAAGAAUAAGCACCGGCUAACUUCGUGCCAGCAGCCGCGGUAAUACGUAGGGUGCAAGCGUUAAUCGGAACUACUGGGCGUAAAGCGUGCGUAGGCGGUUUGUUAAGUCUGAUGUGAAAUCCCUGGGCUUAACCUGGGAAUGGCAUUUGAUACUGGCUGGCUGGAGUGUGGUAGAGGGUGGUGGAAUUCCCGGUGUAGCAGUGAAAUGCGUAGAGAUCUGGAGGAACAUCUGUGGCGAAGGCAACCACCUGGACCAACACUUGACGCUGAUGCACGAAAGCGUGGGGAGCAAACAGGAUUAGAUACCCUGGUAGUCCACGCUCUAAACGAUGCGAACUGGAUGUUGGGUGCUUUAUGCUCUCAUUUUCGCAACUUACGCGUUAAUUUCCCUGGGGGAAUAUCACGGUCGCCCAGGG
Molecule: ribosomal RNA, 533 nt
Filed under: uncultured bacterium
Lineage: Bacteria
Description: bacterial SSU rRNA
Rfam family: Bacterial small subunit ribosomal RNA
Source: RNAcentral